AUUGAACGCUGGCGGCAGGCCUAACACAUGCAAGUCGAACGGUAACAGGAAGCAGCUUGCUGCUUCGCUGACGAGUGGCGGACGGGUGAGUAAUGUCUGGGAAACUGCCUGAUGGAGGGGGAUAACUACUGGAAACGGUAGCUAAUACCGCAUAACGUCGCAAGACCAAAGGGGGGGACCUUCGGGCCUCUUGCCAUCGGAUGUGCCCAGAUGGGAUUAGCUAGUAGGUGGGGUAACGGCUCACCUAGGCGACGAUCCCUAGCUGGUCUGAGAGGAUGACCAGCCACACUGGAACUGAGACACGGUCCAGACUCCUACGGGAGGCAGCAGUGGGGAAUAUUGCACAAUGGGCGCAAGCCUGAUGCAGCCAUGCCGCGUGUAUGAAGAAGGCCUUCGGGUUGUAAAGUACUUUCAGCGGGGAGGAAGGGAGUAAAGUUAAUACCUUUGCUCAUUGACGUUACCCGCAGAAGAAGCACCGGCUAACUCCGUG
RNAcentral lists this ribosomal RNA (490 nucleotides) under uncultured bacterium. Its description in RNAcentral is "partial 16S ribosomal RNA". It matches the Rfam family "Bacterial small subunit ribosomal RNA", at positions 30 to 507 of the family's 1533-position model. The record is from RNAcentral.